UGAUGCCUCUUCCAGAAAAAACAAACCACA
Molecule: non-coding RNA, 30 nt
Filed under: Mus musculus (house mouse)
Lineage: Eukaryota; Metazoa; Chordata; Mammalia; Rodentia; Muridae
Source: RNAcentral